CCUACGGGGGGCAGCAGUGGGGGAUAUUGCACAAUGGGGGGAACCCUGAUGCAGCGACGCCGCGUGGGUGAAGAAGCGCCUCGGCGCGUAAAGCCCUGUCAGCAGGGAAGAAAAUGACGGUACCUGAAGAAGACGCCCCGACUAACUACGUGCCAGCAGCCGCGGUAAUACGUAGGGGGCAAGCGUGAUCCGGAUUUACUGGGUGGAAAGGGGGCGCAGACGGCGAUGCAAGCCAGGGGUGAAAGCCCGGGGCCCAACCCCGGGACUGCUCUUGGAACUGCGUGGCUGGAGUGCAGGAGGGGCAGGCGGAAUUCCUGGUGUAGCGGUGAAAUGCGUAGAUAUCAGGAGGAACACCGGUGGCGAAGGCGGCCUGCUGGACUGCAACUGACGUUGAGGCCCGAAAGCGUGGGGAGCAAACAGGAUUAGAUACCCCAGUAGUC
This 440-nucleotide ribosomal RNA is filed under the name uncultured bacterium. RNAcentral describes it as "partial 16S ribosomal RNA". It matches the Rfam family "Bacterial small subunit ribosomal RNA", at positions 338 to 795 of the family's 1533-position model. The record is from RNAcentral.